Molecule: ribosomal RNA, 492 nt
Filed under: uncultured bacterium
Lineage: Bacteria
Description: partial 16S ribosomal RNA
Rfam family: Bacterial small subunit ribosomal RNA
Source: RNAcentral
AGUGAACGCUGGCGGUAGGCCUAACACAUGCAAGUCGAACGGCAGCACAGUAAGAGCUUGCUCUUACGGGUGGCGAGUGGCGGACGGGUGAGGAAUACAUCGGAAUCUACUUUUUCGUGGGUGAUAACGUAGGGAAACUUACGCUAAUACCGCAUACGACCUACGGGUGAAAGCAGGGGAUCUUCGGACCUUGCGCGUUUGAAUGAGCCGAUUUCGGAUUAGCUAGUUGGCGGGGUAAAGGCCCACCAAGGCGACGAUCCGUAGCUGGUCUGAGAGGAUGAUCAGCCACACUGGAACUGAGACACGGUCCAGACUCCUACGGGAGGCAGCAGUGGGGAAUAUUGGACAAUGGGCGCAAGCCUGAUCCAGCCAUACCGCGUGGGUGAAGAAGGCCUUCGGGUUGUAAAGCCCUUUUGUUGGGAAAGAAAAGCAGCAGGUUAAUACCCCGCUGUUCUGACGGUACCCAAAGAAUAAGCACCGGCUAACUUCGUG